Molecule: long non-coding RNA, 16726 nt
Organism: Orbicella faveolata
Lineage: Eukaryota; Metazoa; Cnidaria; Anthozoa; Scleractinia; Merulinidae
Source: RefSeq, a predicted model, not a curated record
GGUUUAAUAUUUUCAUCCAGACAUUCCACAGCUUACUGGGUUUUGCAUACUUAAUUAAGGGCGGAAUGGCAAAAACAACUGCGUCAUCGCAACGUUCCCCUCCCUCCCCCUCUGAUCUCGCUUCGUGCUACUCGUUUUCCCCAGUCCCUCCCCUUUGAACGCCUGCCACGCAGACUUAGGACUAAUAUUUGCUUGUUUUUUUUUUCUUUUGAAGAUAAAAUUUCCAAGGGUUAACUAUCACACAAGCGCGAGACAUAAAUAUUCUAUUGUCUUUAUUGUUCACGUCCAAAUUUUCUCGUAGCGGCAUGCUUAAAAUCUAAGAACGACAUGGUAUUACUGAAAUUUCCAACCACUAUGGACCGCGUGGAGCUGGAGCGUAAAUUACAGGCAUCCUUACUGCGCAUGCCAUUCGCUCAUAACAUAACGAGGGCUAGUGCGUGCAUUUAUGUCAUAAUACAAACUCGCGGCGAUUUAUAACAAUACUAGUGGGAGCUGCUACAACUUAGUGUGGAUUUAACAAUCUUAGACGUUCGGUGACCCUAGUUUUCCUUUGAUAGAUCACUACCUCUACCAUUUUUCUACGUUUUGCGAAAGGUUGAAAAAAUCUUUAUGAUAGAAGUAUACUGAACCUUUUGCCCCAUGCACCAUCGAAUUCCGUUCUUUUGAGCUUUUUGUUUAGCUUCACGAUGGUUUGAAAAUUUGGAAUUACUGACACUCCAGACCCACUUACAGAAAAUAUUUCAAAGGUAGCUUGCCUCCGUCAACUCAUGUUUGAUAUUUUUGACCAAAAAGCCCGGAGAUAAUGUUGAGUUAUCUGCACCCGUUCUUACUGAUCGGAUUAUUCUUUCACAGUAGCUUCAAAACGAAGUCGGUGACCCCCAUUUUGUUUUGCAUUUGUCGCAGCACUUCCUUAUUAUGUAGCCGUAAUAAAAGAUUGUAAAAAACUUCUACAUAGCUAAAGAUUUUGGCACACACACUCUAGAGGUACCUUAUUUGGGUUAAUUAGAAUUAAGCGUACAAACAAUUUUCUAUAUAUACGACAAGAAAUUCAAACCUAACCUCUGCCCGCUUGCCGUGACUCGUUCAAAUCCGGGUACUAACCGUAGUGGGAGUGAGUUGUGCUUGGUGGCCAGAGCUUUCCCGCGGCCUCCCAUAGAUGGGAUUGAUUUAGUCCUCGACCCGGGGUUGUUUUAUCGUCAAUCGCAGGCGAUUCGUAACCAAAGUUGCGAAUAUUCAAAAGAAGAAUUCGCCGUCAAAAUUCGUCUUGUCAGGCGUGAAAUAAUACAUUAGAGAUGGACAUGUUCAUUACUUUUGUGACGUGGAGGGCUAAGAUUGAGCUGUGGCGGGUUUAAAGAUGCUUCUAGCGAGCUUUUCGAACUGGUCUUCAUCCGGUUGGUGAUAUCUCCUGUGCUGCUUUGUCUCCUCUUUAGUACGCGUCGGAUCAAUCAAAUGGCAUUCAGAAGUGCUAGAACGGCAAGAAAAGAACACCAGAAAUCAUGUUCAUGACAUAGCCCCCUUAAUUACCAGGAUGAUGGUCUGAUCCUUAUGGUGAGUACGCCGCUUGAUUUGUACGCGGAUAAUUGUAAGUUACAAAAGAGUCCCUAGUUUCAUCCUUACAUCGCUGAGUGACAGAGCGGUAAAAAAAAGAGAGGGUGCUGAAAUAUAGAAAAUUCGUUACGAUAAUGACAAACAUUAGGAUGAGCCAGUUCACGAUAUAUUUAGAAAAUGGCCUAUUGGGGUCCACGUAGCUUGGGAAAGAUCUCGUGAUUUUAUUGACUGUUGCCAUAGUACAAACUCCAGUGUAUCAAAAGAAAGUCGAGAUAUGUGAAAAGGGAUUCAAUUGGCUCACGAGUCCUUAGAACCUGAGAGAUAAGUACAGUUAUAAACAAGUGCCAAUGAAACAAGCGCUCUCAUUGGUUUGAGAGGCUUGCAUUAUGAGAGUACAAACUCGUGACACCGUUCGCACGUGAAGCUUUAGAUUGUUACCGAAUUCACUCCUCUCGCGAACAAAAAGAAAAUUCACGAAUACAAUUGGAAAGACAAACGUUAAUGCAAUCACGCACGACCCUUGAGGCCGUCAUACUCUGCGGCCAAAACAACCUAAGAGUUAUAAUGGUGUGUGGCCAAUUUCUCAGAAAAAAAAAGUAACGCUUAAUUAUAAAACAAUAACAAAAAAAAGCUUGGCCGUGCUUUGCUCUAUUAUAAAGUACUCGAGGAAGUGUCAAAUGCACUUAGGAAGUAAAGAGAAGCACACGCGUCCGGCUCGUGUCUCACCAAUCCUCUUGUACUCUCGUCGCUUCCUUGCGCGUGCAGGAUAAGGCACGUGUAGCCUUAUAUUAUGUGUAAAAUUUUGUCAUUUUGAUCCAGAGUAGUAGUCAUAGUGAUCAGCAGGUUGUCUAUCGCAGGCAAUGGACAGGCUAGCUUCAACUUUUGAAAAAAAAAAGUCCACAGGCAAGCUUAAAAAAUGAAAAAAAACAACACCGACGAUAGGAAUAAAAGCGUCGUCCAUUACCGAUGAGCGAUACUAACCCUAAUAAGAAAGAAUCAUCGGCAGAAAAUUAAAUGAAUUAAUCAAUAAAUAGACGCUUUAUGUUCAAAGGGUGACGUGUGUGAUUUCAGCGCGUGUGUAAUUUUUUUCUUUUUUUUUAAAAAAAAAAAUGAAAGCCAGGUUGACGAAGUUUAAUCGUAAGUACUGUGGAACCAGUUAGAUUUUGGUUUUACUUUGUUCAUCUUCUCUAGUUGUUUAGCGUGCGAAUACGGCCGCCUCUCAGGGCCAGUUGUAGGCUCGGUUUCUGCCGCUCUCUCGCGUCCGGUCACUUUGCUCCUCCCCGUGAAGAACGGCUGGAGAGGGCGAGCCUAGGCCAGCUGUAUUCUCAGGAUACUGCUUUUGUCAGUUUGAUUUGUUCGCAGAUUCUCCUUCAUUGGAUUGGGCAAUCCAUUAACAAAUAGAUUUUGUCGGUAUUACAUGUGUUCAAAUUCAUCAAAUGUUAACCACUGGCAAGCCGGCCUUUGGCAAAUGAUCGAUCCUUAUCAUAGCCAUUCAAAUAAAGAGUGAACACGUACGUUAAAAUUUGGCGAGGUGACUACAUUUUACUCUAGAUACAACUAAAGAACAAUAAAAUAGAGCUACUGUACCCUCGGUGAUAACUCAAGUCUUCUACGCCUGUUCACCCUGUUCAGCUCCGCACCCCGGCAAUGUUUCACUCGCUCUGUGCAGCCCAGCACCGAUAUUUAAAUGAGUCUUAUAGAGUCAUAGUCUGGGAAACGAACUUUGUUCGACUGAUCACACAUAUGCCAAAAUUGCGUGUAUGGAUGAGCUAAUCUCACAACUGACAAACUUACUGACAAUCUUACUGACAUCUUACUGUUGAAGCAAAAACGGUCUUAUACAGUCUGGUCACCCAAAUUCUGACAGUUAAACGGAAAUAAUGGCCCAAUGAUAAAUGACAGAAUACCCCCAAAAUAUGAAAAUAGAGAAUUAUCUACGAUUUAUAAAAAAAAACUAUAUAGGAAAAUAGAACAACAGAAAUUGCUUAAGGAAGCGCCACCGAAUCUUGUGUAUUCCGUUUUUGGUUUUUCGCUUGUUCGAACAUCACACGCGGGCAGAAAGGGAGGAUAAAUUGAAAUGAAUAGGUCACGCCUUUUUGGCUAACAUUUACAUUAACGGACUGCAGAGAGCUCAGGUACACCAAAGUGGCGCAUGUGCGUUUUUCAUGAAGAAAACAACGUUUCGGUUAAUACCGUAUAUUGUGUGCUAAUCUGCAAAACGUUUAGUUCGUAAGUAACUGGGCCAUUUGGCCAUUUGAAGCCACAUAUGGCUAACUUACUGGUGAAUUUACCAAUAAGAUAUAAGGCCUUAAGUGCAUAUGGUGCUAAACACCAAGCCAUUUGAACCAGAUAACCAAUGUUUUACAUUAAUGCAGCCGAAAAUUGUGCUGCUGCAUGUGCAGGAGUUGUUUUCUUACCUAAACUAGGGUUCGAAGCGAAAAAGUGGUUGGUCGGAAUUUGCUCUUGUGUAAAUAAGAUUUAGGCUGCAUUAUGAAGCGAUAGGAGACUUAACUUGGACUUAAAAGUUAAUACGAAAUCUGAAGAGAUGAAAAUUUACUGCCUGCUGGGUGAAAACAACUCAUCACUAGAUGUUUGAUACUAAGCAUAGAAAGUCCGUCAAGUUUAAUAACAAUCCGGACUCAGAUAAAAUACAAGUCUCUUGACUUGUUACUGAUAUUCAACCGUACGGCGCAAUCCGAUAAUCAUUUGCCCGUGAACUACUGUAGUCAAAGUUCGUCAGGACGCAAAAUUAAUCCUAAUUUUCUGGGAGAGUUUUUGGUUCACGUGUAAAACAUGUAGGAAAAUUAAGGUGAUCGGCUUAAUACGGCAAAAUGUAGACAGACUGAUUCAAUGCAACCACUCAAUCACAUCGCUUUUGAUUAAAAACACAACUGAACAUGUUACGGAAACAACUGAGCAAAAUGUUACCAUAGAAUGAAUAAAUAUAUAAAUUAUUGUAGCAACAACAAUAUAUUGGCAAAACUGCUAUGUAUUAUGAAUUGAAACCUAUAUAUGCAUAUGUCCUCUGGUUUACGUGCAUUCUCUAAAUUUUUUGAAAGGUACAAGGGCUCGCGCAAGCCACUCGAGCACGUUAUCAAUUGUGUGGUUCUAGAGCUCCACGCACGCAAACGUGUAAGAUAGUCCCCGGACGAUAAAUGUUCUGUCGUAAGUCUUUCUAACAACCAAAACCCCCACAGAGCUGCAACAAAAGCGCAAAAUUUAUAUAUCCCGGUGUUCGUAUGUUAUAGUUUAAACCACAUGACAGACCGUUGUCACGUGGCUCUCAGGUGCUGAACGCGACCGUAUCAAAUGAUAGGCAGUUAUCACGCUAUGGGCUAAUAGCACUGAUUUACGUCACAAUAAGGCACACGUGAACACAAAAGAUCUUUCGUUUAAGGUAGGCAUGACCAUUUGCACUAGGCCGACAAACAGCUACUAGCUCUUCCAAAGUCUCGCCAUAUCUUGUCUCCACCAAAUUCUGUUCGAACUGCCAAAAAACGUGGUCUACUUACAAACCAGCAUUUAUUUUUUGCCCAAAAAUGUCAAUCACAAAAGAAAUUGAACACCUCUUCGCGGAAAAAUGCCAACUCAAAUGAUGUUUUGCUUUAAGAUGAAUUGAAAGAUCUGUCAGUUUUGACAAUUGGCAAAAAUUGCUCAGAUCAGACUGAGAAUCUUCGUUCGUUCAAUGGAGGUGAUGACAGCCUAACAUUUUGUCGCGUGGACCGCCCUGAUGAAUUUUUUAAAACAUCUUCCGCCUUCAUUUCCACCGAUAAUUGAAAAGUAACAUGCCAAGAAAAAUGGAUAAUACCUUAUGAAAAGAAAAGGUUAAAAUACGAAAGAAGUAAAGAAUUACAAUCAAAGUAAGAGAACGUCACAUGAAACAGCCGAUACAUCUUUGAAAUUACCAGCUCUUGAGCGACGCGUGAUGUCUAUUAUUUUUCUUCAGUAUUGCUGUAGACCUCUCUAACGCCCUCUUGGCUUAAAACAAGACGAGUUUUUUAAGAGGCAAUGUCACGAUAUCUCAAUCACUUCUCUCUUCACUUUUACAUUGAAGGGAAAUUAUCAAUAAUAUUUUUCUAAGGUGGAAGAACACCAAAGAAGUACAAAAAUAUAAAUAAAUAAACAAGGAUAUGGCUUCGACUGAGAAACCUUAAAGGAGCAGUUACAUAAGUGUUACUGCGAAAAGUCACAACCUAGACAACCUAAAAGACAUGAUUGCAUAGAUUGAAACCUUAAUAUAAUGCUUAUAAGUUUCGUUAGAAAUUACAUUGAAAGUGCACUGAAGUUAUAAAAAGAGGGCUACAAGGGACGGUUGUGAUGUCAAAUUAAAAACGUCUGGGAAGGGGUUUCAAAUUUUGUUGUCGUUUCUUGGAAAAUCGCUUGAUUAAACCAAUUCCAAUUUGUUCUCUUGUUAUUAAGUCCGUGAAUAUCUUCAUCUUGAUGAUCUCGGUGCAGUCUAGAAACAUUUGGAGUACAAGCGAAGGCACUCUGUCAUAAUUUUACCGCUUCUGUAAUCACUGAUGUAGCAAAUUGCCAUGAACGUGUCCUUUUAAGACGGAUUUCGACAAACUCGACAAAUUUGGCCAAUUUUUUCCUUUUUUUAAGGUGUGAGUUUCAUGACGCAGCUCCUUUAAUGUGCUUCAGUUCUGCCAAACAGUACGGAUGCCACUGAGCCUGAAAGCUAUCCUGUGACGUACUAACACGCCACCUAUGGAUUAGCAACACAUCUAGUCGCUUCAUGCAAAAAAAGGCACCGGCAGUGGUAAGACAUCUGGCUCCGUCAUAUCGUUCGGAUUGUCAGAAUGAACUUAGCGUGUGAGCAGUAUGUGAGCAAUAUUGGCAUGGUACAAAUCACUGUAAAACGUUGGCCAUUGGCUUUUGGUAACUUCCUUAAAGCUCUUUCAGCGGGUAGAUCGAGCACAAAAGACAAAAAGUUUGAAUUUAUAACUAAGCAAAUGAUUCUUUAAUUUGUUGAGUAAACAUCCGAGUGUUAGUUAUCAAAAGAUGCCCCGUCAUACAUUGCAUGCCGCGUUGACUAAGUAUCUUUGUUCAGUCGCACGCAACACGCAUAGAAUGUGGAUUUAUCACGUAGAAACGUAUUGUUGAACCUCAGAGUAUUUAUUUCAGAAUGGUCAAAAAUAUCAAAUCAACAAAUAAUUUCAUGGGCUUUAUGAUCAACAAGAAUAAUUAUCGUUUCAAAUGAAGAGUUGAAAAAGCACUCAAAAAUUGGAUUGAUCAAAGGACUUCAUGCUUUCAUAGUUUUUCGUUUUUUGUUGUUCCUGUUGAUUUUGCUUGUUUUUGUCGACGGCAAAUCAGUGAGCGAAGUUGUUGUAUAAAAGAGUCUGUAGUGAAUUCCAGCUUGUUGUAAAAGGAAAACCCUUGCUCUUAGGGAAGGUUUUGUGGAAAUAUGAACUGUGAUUUCUAUAUCAUCAAACUCGACUGUUGUACAAGAGUUCGUAAUAGUCGUUUUGCUUUAUUUAACCGUAAAGUUGUAACAGUAAAUGAACUAGUCUUUGCCGUUUGUUAUUCAAUUGACGUGAUCACAAAUGUUUAAAGCGUGAUUGUAUCCCAAAAUUUUUGCCGCUUAACUGCACAGCAACCCGUUCAAUUAUCGGAUUAAAUCAGUUUCAUCCCAGCAUGAUGCAGCUAAAUUCCCAUGAAGGGGUAUUGGUUUUGCAGUGCGCGAUUUUACCACAAUAAUCCAAAUUAUCGAGAUAGACACGUGCCAAAAAUAUAUAUCUGCUGCAUCACCUUGAAACACCGAAGAUAGUGAAAGAAAAUUUGUAUGCAGAUUAACAUGUAGAACACAACACCCAAAACUAACAUAUUAGUUACCAAUUAUUAAAUUAACACGCAAUUGUUUUAGACAAUAACGAUAAUAGAAUGCAAGAAAAGCAAACAAACCUAUUCAAAGACUAAAAGUAACUGAACACAUGAUUAAUAAGUGGUCUUCUGUAGAGUGCUUUUGAUACGCAAAGACUGCACGUAAAAAGCCCUUAGCAUUGCUUGGUUUGUCAGUUAAUACCCUUUCGUGGACAACACCGUGAAGGAGUAUGCAGUUUACCCCUGAAGGAAUUUGCCUGCCACACUGAUGCUCUGUACUUACGGCUCAGCUUUCGUUCCCCUCUUUUGUCUUGAUACACAAUAAUUACAUAUACUUAGGCAAUUCUACGGGGUCGUGAUCUUCUGUUUUGUUACGCUUUGUCCACGUCACCUAAUGGAAGGAUUAACGUCAAAUCUGAGGGGUCAAAAUACGUAGGAGAUACCCUGACGGGUUAAAUGGAAAAUGAGCAUUGUAGAACGCACUCAGCACUCCUUAUUUUCCAUGGCAACCGUGUUUUGACUUCUCAGACGCCAACACGUAACAAAUUAUAGAAUUAGACGACCCCUUAGCUAAUAACACGUUCUUUAGGGAAUGUAAAAUACAUUUCUCUUGAUACACUAGGUUCACUGAUAGGGCUUUACACAUUAUGUUCAGAUUUUUCACUAUUAUGCUAAUGCUCGAUGCUCAAAAAGUCCCACUAUCAUGCUCAAGAGGAGUCACUUUUAUGCUCCACUAUGCAAACAUCAAAAAGAUAAUAUCUUCACUUAAAUUAUUGAGGCGUGAGCGCUUCAGUGUAAUUCUCCAUUGCUCUGGCUUGACUAUUACGAAAUGAGUUUUCUAGUAAUGAGAAUAACUUGCUCUGGUGCAGCAGAAGAGGGUUGAAUUAGCAAAAUGUUCUUGCUUGCUGAAGCCCAAUUUGGAAGCUAUCUUUCAUGUUGAGACCACCAAGUAGUAACAGAUUACUCUCAGCUUGCCGAAGACCCAGAUCAUCAGCCUCCUUAGUCUUGUCACUAUUAUUCCGACAUAAUUCUCAAUUCUUUUACCUCACUUUUAUGCUCAAAAUAAUGCCGGCGUUAUAUGCAAAAUCCUAAAUGUAUUUUCCUGCAAUUAGGUUAUUUCGAGCCGGUGUACUCUUUCCAAUUAUUGGUGUCUAAUUAUGUCCUUUUUGUAGCUAAAAUGUUUUCAGAAAUUCAAACGAACAUUCUUCUCUUUUGCUGCUUCGACUAAACGUUAUUCCAUAAUCAUCAUGUUUAGAACGAGAUGUAACCAGAUCGCGGCGCAUUGAAUCACUUUGGUGGAGUCUUGGUUUUGCACGGUAGUUUCAUUACGGAAAUAAAAACAAGAAAUUCACAACAUGGUGUAAUUUACGCCGAAUGGAUUAAAACAAUAUUCCAGCAAUGAAACGUAGAACACAAAACACAGCAAGGUUUCACAUAUAAUUGGACCAUUGUGAUAUUAACUCGCUGUUCCUUUGGUCAACAUCCGUGAAUUCGAUUGUAGCGUGAACUGACAGUUCUAGUAAGAAUGUCACAUGAUUAAUUAGAAUUUCCUGGUGAUUUGACAAUCGCAGACCUUAUGUUGAAAGGGCUGAAACAUCGCUUAGCCGGUUCAAACUUCCGACUUUAACACAAAUACUAAACUACAGUGCCUAACAUCAUUAAUCCUCUCUUAUUUCUGCAUUUUUUUUGUCUCAGUUAUAAGAAUCUUAUUGUAAGAUUCUUAUACAUUUGUAAAAAUAUGAAAAUAUCGAGGAUGAAAUAGUAAGUGACACUUAUAUAUGAAUUGUAUACCCAAGGCAGAGAUUUUGUUAAGAAUUUGUUUGCGCAUUGAUGAACAAAUAGAACACAAUUAAGUCACAUAACGUUUUUAAAUAAACUUUAUUUUACCCUUGCAAAAGAGCUAACGCAACAGUACAAACGUAAGCACGUUUAAGUUGAAUCGAUAAAGCAAGGGCACAAUAGAUAAAUAACAUCAAAGAGUUCUAUUUGACAAGUCAAUCAUAUUCCUGCUACGUUUUACCUAACUUGAAUAAACGUACAAUCGGCUCCGCAGUCUACGAAUGUACACAGAAUAUUUUGAGCUGUAGGUCGAAAGUAAUAUAAGACUAUUCAGCCUGGGCAUGUUAAGAAAAUAUCAUUCUUUUAUAAACAAGUGAACAAGGCGCUAUUGAGUUUGCUCGAAGAAAACGAAAACGAUACGUCUAAUUGUUUAAGGGAGAAGUAUAUAAGAAACUGCGAUCCAAAAACCUACGUUUUAUAUAUUUCAAGCCAAAAAUCAAGUGUUAUUCAAGUUUACCCAAUCAUGGGCAAGCACGAGCUAUGAAUAGAAUAGACAAUAAUGAGACAACUUCCUGUUGCCGGGAUGUUUUGCAUUUCUCACGUCAGAUUAUUAUGCUAGCGUGCAAGUAUUUCUGGUGUUUGGCGGGUUUAGUUCGCAAGGUCAAAAGUAAAAUGUCAAGAGUUUUAAAGUAAACAAAAGAGCGCUGUGCGAGUAACAGCGUAUAUCCGACUUUCUUUAACUUUUUUUCGAGCAACUCCUCUUUCUACAAAUUUAUAAGGUCAAAGUCAACUUUGUUUUGCUCAAAAAAGGUUACCUGAUUCAAAACGUGACAGUUGCCACGCGAUUCGCGUUAUAAUUACAGUCUAGUAAUAUCGAUUUCAAGGUCAAUCGAUAAAUCAUCAUAUAUAAAAAGUUUGCUGUUCGGUUUAUCAUAUUUCCAACAGUAUUUUCAUCUGUGACCUGAAAGGUGAUUAAGCGUAACGUCUGAAAAUUACGCUCGUUUUUAAACGAUUAUUCGAACUUUAUGGCGCCCUCGAUUCCAACUCAGAUGGGCGUCUUUGUAUUUGAAGACUCUUACAUUCUCGCUAAAGCCAGAAAAAGAGUUGACCAAUGGCCAACCUGUUGUUCGCUUUUUACUCUCCAGCAACAAGUGCUAUGACAGGAGCUGACCUAAACUGCAGCACAAUAUUCCUUUGACAGUCCCAAACGCCAAAACUGUCAGUCAGUGCAAAGUCGUCCAUCCAUCAAAUAUGGGAGAACUGUGCUUUUCUGUACCGCUCAUGUGCCUAUGAAGCUGCAGAAAUGGCAAUGCUGCCAAAUGAAGCAAGGUAUCACGUGACAUACCACAUGACUUUUAGCAGAAAGCAACAUUUCAUGGACUGCUGGCGAUUUUUCAGUAGAAUCAUCAAACAUCUGCUUAAACAUAAUUUUGCUCUAGAGAAUUCCUGACCCUGGCCUUUAAGAGCGCUCGAGGGCUUGAGUGAUGUUUGUAGACUGUUCAGUCCGCAGUGUCACAUUGAGAGUUUGGCUGAGAUCCCAGCAUGGCAUAAAAUGACGAUUCGCCGCAACGUCUGACUGUGUUUGCGUUAGUUUCAGUAGUACAGUUCUUCUGUGUAUUUUGUUUUGUUUUUUUUUUCUUUUGUCUUAAUCACAACUCCCUCGCACCCUCCCUCUCUCCACAGUACAUAUCCUGGGUCGUAAUCUUAAUCAGCAGAGACAUGGAGGUCGGUUUAGUUACCUUGAUUUGCUUUCUUUUUCAUUCCGGUAAUUGUUUAUAAGCUUUUCGGUUCUAACCAAAUUAAACAAGCUCUGUUUUUCUUGUAAUCAAUUUAAGAGAACAUCAUGUCCCUCGUACCCCGCCAUAUUCGCUUUUGGUCUUUCCUUUUAGUUCAGAACUUAGCAAGGUAACCUUAUCAUGUUAUAUCUGAUUGAUCUGCUUUUGAAGUGACAAAUACGAAGAUAUGUUGAGGAUCUUUCGCAAGUCAAACGUUUUUUUGCUUCAAUUCAAGACGUUUUUGACUGCCGAUAGACAAAUCAAAGGAGCAUAUGAAUUAGGCACUGUAAAAUUCGACACGUCGAAUUGAAGCCUUCCGGGCUCACAUGACUGUGAACUGGUCGAUAGCCAGCUUUUGCGCAAGGAAUUCUUCGGGGAAUGCAGAUUAUUUACAUCGCGGCUUCAUUACGGACAGAAAGAUAACAAAACCUUACUGUAUCGCUGCACUCAUUGUUUCUACAAUCUCCUGCAUGUGAACAACGAUGCCGGGGAUCUAUCGUCCCCGGCAAAGCCUUCGUCACACCUCCGGAAAUAAGGGCGCCACAUUACAACAACUUACUCCGAGACAGAAUGAAUUCGAACCGCGGGAACACUUUGUUUUGACGAAAAGGAUAAAAUUGCUAGGAAAUUAUUCAUUAAUUUUGAAACAGAAAAAGUCUCAGCUUUUGAAAAGCUACUAUGUGUUACCAGUUUAACUAUAGACGCAAGAAUCUUAAAACCCCUCACCUGUUCGAGAAAUUUCCUUGUUCCGAAAGCUCGUGUAAAUGGAGCCGCGGCAGUCGAUAUGCUUUCUAUCAACAAAUGUUUUUCUUUACCAAAACCCACAAAUGAUCAGAAGCGCAACACUUGUUACCAGAUCCUUUUUGAAGCGUCAAGAAGCUCCCAGCGUACCAGUUUAUUUCUUAUAGCGACAAUUGCCAAAAUGAUCGUGAUCAAAAUUAGAGAGCGUGUUGUUGCUGUUGCGUGCUGAUGUCGUCUUGGUGGGAGUUGUUGGGGGUUGGGACAUAUCGCAUUUCCCUUGCACUUUCAAGAUAAACCUGUUAAACAGCAUUGUAAAGGAAAAUAAACAACCUUUGCAGCGAUUGGACGGAUCAGUUUACACGGCGGUUUAAGUUACGCAACUCAUACCCUUAUGUGCUAAAAUUUCCUUGUGUAUUUUCCAUUCUUUAGAGGCAAUCAAGCGUGGCAAUGUUUUGGAAGCCUCGUGUCUGUCCAAUCGAAAUUCUGCCGACUAUUUUUAUUAAAACUCAGCAACCUAGGUAAGCUCGUCAAAAUAUACCAAGUUUGUCAAUGGCCUCAGCCAAAUAAACAACAAAUUACGACAUAAAAUGGAACCCCUUCCUGCUAGACUCAAACGCUUUCAGAUUUCUCAUUUUUGUGACGGUGUUAUUCGCAUUCCUGACGUUUCAAAUUUGCCGAACAACUCCCAGCCAUCCCGAUAUAGGCCUACUAUUCUAUAACAGAAAUUCUUUAAGUGUAGAGCUAACUGCAUGAGUUAUCUUAUUUCUAUGAUUUUGAAACUCUCAAUAUUGUACCAUCCGCAUAUCCCUGAUCAUGGAUAAAGGUAAAUUAUAUUGACCUCCAUUGCCAAACGUUCGAUUUAUUGUAUAUUGGUCAGAGCAGCUUUUUUGGAUGGGGGGUGGAAUUGCCAAAAAUCAAUGCAUCUAUCCCGACGAACAUUUUGCCCUAGGCAGCACUGAAACAAACUGUCCCAAACAAGUAUCGAAGCCACUAGAUGCAGUGAAAUACUACAGCAAAAACGGAAAUGACCAAGCGAAAUUCUUGGACACGUAAACUUGUCGGGCAUUAUCUGCAAGGGAAGUUCAGCAGGUUGUCAUGGCAAUUACUUUUCAAAGAGUUAAUUAACCAAACACAGGCGUUUCUUGAGAGAGCGGGGUAAAGAAUGUCUACGUUAGAGAAGUCUUUCUCAGGUGACUGCUAAUAAAGCUACUCCUGCGCGAUGUCCCGUAUUUAACUAAACAAUUUGAUUGGUUUUCUAAAAAAAAAUUCAGCCACUUGAUGCAAUGAAAGACUAAAUAAAAAGCGGAAAUGAUAAAACAAAAUGUCGUGUUAUCGGGAGCCCUGAUGUUAUCUUAGUGAAAGCUUCUUUACUUAUUCGGUGGAUUUUCAGAUUUAUAAGUUAAGCAUUUCCUCCUUUCCAGUUUUGUAACCAUGUCAGUCAGAGCUUGAUAUCGUCUCUGCCAAUAUAGAGAUGACGUUAACUUUUGUUUACUGUCCAACUAUUUGCUUGUUUUUCGCACAGUUCCGGGCAUGACAGGUUUUGCCCGGUUAUCCCACGCUAAUACAGUACUUAUUUAUUCCCCUGGGUGGGCAAAUGGCCGGAUGAGUGCCCUGUCCCAGAAUGCACCACGAGGAAAAUGAUGCAGGCUUCGAUCACGCAACUUCUUAAACAUUAAUUGCCGGUUGAUGCAGUGAGCCAAAGAUUUGACAGUUGUUGGCAAGGAAAGAUAUUUAAUUAAUUACGGAGUAUUCCACUCCGCUCGGAGUUUUUUCAUUCAACUCGGCAGCUUGUCCAUAAACCACGUCUUCUCUUUUAAUCCAAUUGUUCUUUCCCAGUUGUACAUGUAAAUUGACUAAUGCGCUUAUUCGCCCGACCAAAUACUGCAACUUGUUGCCCUGAUUAAACGACAAAACCACUGAUUAGUCUGGCGAGUUAUUUUAACCUCAUGAAGUGUUAUUUUCUUUUGACUCUGGGCCAUUAGGGAUUUCGUCUCGUUGUUCCGUCUCCUUGUUGCGUGUAUUUGUUUACGCAUCGUUUGCCGAGUGUGGUUAACCUAGGUAUUCCGUGUUCUUAAGCUCUGGAUGGGAGUCUAUCAAAAGGUCAAAUAACCAAGUAGGGGACGAGGAAGUGCAGCCUUAAUUUAUUAUUAUUAUGGUGAAAUUGUUUAAGUAAGUACUAUAUCGUGUAGUCAAGGAAUUAACAAAUGUCUGAUUGAUUAAAUUAUAUUCGUCGCUGUUUUGAACCCUUUAAACUCUGCCAAUGAGAUUGCAGCGUAAUAUUUAGGAACGGUAGAGCAUUACGAAAAUGCCGCAAGUCUUGUUAUGAACAUAGGGAGCUGGGAUGCUAUCGGUUUUAUUUUUAUUUCAGGUUAUGACGAAAAAGCUUUUCCGGAUUAGAGAGCUUAUGGAUUAUGGUUCUCAAAAAUUGGAGAUCCGGUCAAAUACCGGCAAAUAUUUCAUUAACAUUAGUAAAUAAAUGCAGUAUUCUUGCUAGCAAGGGAAGCCUUCACUUCUAGGCGCAAAAAUAUACAUUUUCGCAGUCGAUAAAUAUAUAGCAAGCUACAGUCCAAUUUCUUAUUAAUGGUCUAAAAGGUGCAAUUUAAAAAACAAAUCAAAUGAAAAAAAAAAAAGGUUUUGUUUUUUUCAACAAGAUUAGUGAUUUUUUUUUCCCUGUACACUGUACACCUAUAAACCUGUGCACCUUCUACUAAAUAAAUCGAAGCCAAAACAAAAUUGCUGAAUUCAGUAACUCUUUUCGCUUUCCUCGUCCUCCCCUCCCCUCCCCCUCAACUUUCCCACGCCCUUUUUCGUCUGAAACGCUAGCAUAAAUUCCUGUGUCUGAUAUCCUAUCCACCGAGGUUCUGCGCAUGCUCGGUCAACGGGUAAAGGUUAACAUAAGCAAGCAUGAGAACGGUUUGCUCGAUUUGUGAAUCAAAUUUUAAGUUUCAAAAUAUAUCAAUUAUCCUCGAUGACACCUUAACUACUGACCUACAGCGGCAUGAAGACGUCAAAAAAUUUUGAGAAUCCCCCACACCCCCCUGACCGACGCAUUGUUCCUGUGAGGUAAGACUGUCCCAACUUCAAGAGAUCUGCUAUGGCUAAUUAUCAGAGUCUAUCAUAAUAUUUGUUUCUAGCCGGGAAGGGGGUGGAAUAUAUUUCUGUUCGUUAGAAAAUCUCUCGAAUCGAAGAAAUUUAGCGUCUAGUACUUUUUGAUCGAUGCAUGCGCCUCAAAGUGACAUUCUUUAUUCCUUCUUCCCCUGCAGUUGAUUUUCCCGAAACUGUAGAGUCAGGCAGUGUGCACGACAGAUGCUGCUGUUACGUUUAUAUAACGUGGAAUUUUUUUUAACUUCAAAAAAAAAAAAAAAUGCCCAUUGACCAAAAAACCGCAGAAAUUCCGACACCGGAAAUUGAAAAGAAAAUAACUGUAUUUUGACUGCCUCUCGACAAUGCUUAUCAGUCUCAGGCUAAUUUCGGAUUAAUCAGGGAAUCUUUAAAAAGCAACGCGACAACAUUAAAAUUGGGUGUGUUGCAAAUUAGCCUUCAGUUUCGGCCGGUCUUGUCACAAAAUCCGCCAUAUAAUACAUAGCGGCAGUUUUUAGUCUGUGUGAGAUGCAUCGGUGUAUUCUGAGCAAGCGCCUGAAAGUGACAUUCUUCAUUCCUUCUUACUCUACUGCUGAUUUUCUCAAAACUGUAGUGUCAGGGAGUGCGCAUGGCAGAUUUCGCUCUUAAGCCAAUUUAGAUAAGGUGGAAUUUUUUUGAACUUAAACAAAUGCCCAUUUAGCAAAAAACCACAGAAAUUCCGGCACAGGAAAUCGAGAAGAAAAUAACUGUAUUUUGACUGCCUUUCGACAAUGCUUAUCAAUGCUUAUCAGUCUCAGGCUAAAGCAACGGCGACAACAUUAAAAUUGGGCGCGUUGCAAAUUAGCCUUCAGUUCAGCCGGUCUUGUCACAAAAUCCUCGAUAUAGUGCAUACCGGCAGUGUAAGCUGUCUGAGAUCCAAGUUAUUGUAAAUCAGAUUUCGGUUAAGUCCGAAAAUUGAACAAACUUUUGUUUUUCCGAAAUUGUGAAUUGUAAAUUUUUUGCUAUUUCCCUAGUUCGGGGCCACCUUGGAAGUUUCAUAUAUAAUUCCGCCCUCUCUUCUCUCGUCUCCCGCAAAGUUCCCAGACGGUAGCUUAGAAUUGGUCCAAAUUUGAACUGUCAGCUGAGAAAUGACCCGGGCUUUUUUAUGACGGUAGCUAAGAGCUACAAAGUUUCCUAAUAACCGAGACUGAAACAGGCUGAAAUUUGAAUUGAUAGACGAGACAUCGCCGAACAUAUUUCACUGAUAACAGAGAUGCCCACCCCAGUCACACCCAAUGCAAGCCCCCCCAAUUUAUCACCUCUGCCCUCGCUAUAACCAUAUUAAGGAUCGAAAUACAAAACAACAACCCGUUAGAAUAAUCUCAGCGCCAAAACAAAAAAAGAAAAAGAAAAAAAUGCAGAAAAAAAAAAGAUUGAAAACAAACAGAACCGUGUGGCUUCUGUACCAUGGAAAGCUGUUCAUUAGAUGGACAUUUUACUUGUAGAAAGUGUCCGUGAAUUUGUCGCGAAACGUAACAGACCUCCUACACAGUCUUGGUUUUACUAUUUGCAAAACUAAUUGUGUAAUAAUCAGGCAUAAUCAUUAAUUAUAGAAUAAUGGGAUUAUAAGAUUAGGCGAAUUUCUGACCGAAUACCUUCAUAAAGUACUAUUUCAUUCAGAAAGUGAGAAGGGAUUUUCGACACAUGAUUUGAAAUUAGCUGGGAAUUCAAUAAAGUUUGUUAUCUUACAUUUGAUCUCGCGCUUAACUUCAUUGAACUUGAUCGCUUCUGGUCACAGUUUCGCUUCGAAACAUUCAGUCGCCCUGGUAUACAGACCUAUAAGCCUGUAAACCUGAGCUUAUUUGACUUGCACUGGAAACAAAAUUAAUUUUUACUAAGCAGUUAUUUCGGAUCUUCACGCGAACCAGUAUCGUUUACGGAAAGAGACGUUUUUAGUCGACCUGCGCGAGGUUAAAAAAAAAAAAAAAAAAAAAAAAAAA